GAUGAACGCUGGCGGCGUGCCUAAUACAUGCAAGUCGAGCGAACGGAUGAGAAGCUUGCUUCUCUGAUGUUAGCGGCGGACGGGUGAGUAACACGUGGAUAACCUACCUAUAAGACUGGGAUAACUUCGGGAAACCGGAGCUAAUACCGGAUAAUAUUUUGAACCGCAUGGUUCAAAAGUGAAAGACGGUCUUCUGUCACUUAUAGAUGGAUCCGCGCUGCAUUAGCUAGUUGGUAAGGUAACGGCUUACCAAGGCAACGAUGCAUAGCCGACCUGAGAGGGUGAUCGGCCACACUGGAACUGAGACACGGUCCAGACUCCUACGGGAGGCAGCAGUAGGGAAUCUUCCGCAAUGGGCGAAAGCCUGACGGAGCAACGCCGCGUGAGUGAUGAAGGUCUUCGGAUCGUAAAACUCUGUUAUUAGGGAAGAACAUAUGUGUAAGUAACUGUGCACAUCUUGACGGUACCUAAUCAGAAAGCCACGGCUAACUACGUG
This 496-nucleotide ribosomal RNA is filed under the name uncultured bacterium. Its description in RNAcentral is "partial 16S ribosomal RNA". It matches the Rfam family "Bacterial small subunit ribosomal RNA", at positions 28 to 507 of the family's 1533-position model. The record is from RNAcentral.